AGCAGCCGCGGUAAUUCCAGCUCCAAUAGCGUAUAUUAAAGUUGCUGCAGUUAAAAAGCUCGUAGUUGAAUUUCGGGACCAAUAUGUCGGUCGUGCCUCGGUACGUACUGGCAUCGUUGGUUUCUCCCUUCUGACGAACCAUGAUGUCAUUUAUUUGGUGUCGUGGGGAAUCAGGACUGUUACUUUGAAAAAUUAGAGUGUUUAAAGCAGGCUCACGCUUGAAUACAUUAGCAUGGAAUAAUGAAAUAGGACGUUUGAUUCUAUUUUGUUGGUUUCUAGGAUCGACGUAAUGAUUAAUAGGGAUAGUUGGGGGCAUUAGUAUUCAAUUGUCAGAGGUGAAAUUCCUGGAUUUAUUGAAGACUAACUACUGCGAAAGCAUUUGCCAAGGAUGUUUUCAUUAAUCAAGAACGAAAGUUAGGGGAUCGAAGACGAUCAGAUACCGUCGUAGUCUUAACCAUAAACU
This 463-nucleotide ribosomal RNA is filed under the name uncultured Glomus. Its description in RNAcentral is "SSU rRNA". It matches the Rfam family "Eukaryotic small subunit ribosomal RNA", at positions 569 to 1038 of the family's 1831-position model. The record is from RNAcentral. Lineage: Eukaryota; Fungi; Glomeromycota; Glomeromycetes; Glomerales; Glomeraceae.